Long non-coding RNA from Drosophila pseudoobscura, 1410 nucleotides. RefSeq lists it as uncharacterized. NCBI's taxonomy places the organism in Eukaryota, Metazoa, Arthropoda, Insecta, Diptera, Drosophilidae. The record is from RefSeq and is a predicted model, not a curated record. The transcript is spliced from 3 exons.
GUGGCUUUCAGUCUUAUAUAUUUUAAACUUUUUCUUUUAAUGAUACCCAUUUUUAUUUCAUGGUUGAACCAGGAGUUAUCUGUUUGUCUAACGGCCGCUUUCUUGAUAGGUACAUGUUCAUUAUAAAGAUAGUCGAUGUUUGAUUGAAGGUGGGCAAGCUGAGAAUUCACACCCGGCAUAUAAUAUAUUGAUGUCCAGUCGAGCAUGUUAAUGUCAGUGUCUAGUUUUCCAAGGUCAAUGUUCCUAAAGUCUCUAUAGAAGGUAACAUAGUCAUGGUAGUCAGGAUUGAUGACGUAGGUCAUGAAAAUAAGGACAUGUUUUGAAUACCCUGGCACUGUGAGUUGAUCAUAGAGUAACAAUUUUUCGGUGCUGUCAACAAAAAAUAAGUCUAAUAGUGUGUUUCUGGUUUUUGUAAAGUGUGUGGGGUAUUGGUGGUUUACAACAUUUAAACCAAGACUAAACAGUUUAUCUGGCAAUCGGGAUUCUCUCAGAAUGUCACAGUUAAAGUCACCUGCAUGUAUUAUGUCUGUAUACAUCAGAGAAAUGUCAGUAACAAGUGUUGUCAAAUACGAAUAGUCAAUGUUUUGGUUUGGUCGAUAUAUACAGCCAAGGAGCAGUCUCUUUUUGUCUCUUUGAUCUUUAGAAAAAUGUAUUCUAUAGCGCUGUCCGGUAUUUGCUUACAGACGAGUUUAGCAGCUGUCUUGUUAUUUAUAUAUAUUGCAACGCCCCCGGCAUGUUCUAUACGAUCAGAUCGCAACACAAACAAAGUUUCAGACACAAAUAUAACAUCCACUCCUGAAUCCACGAACAUAUGUCUAAAUUCUUCAAUUUUUUUCGGCAAGCUUUGUGCAUUAAUAUGGCAGAUUUGGAGACCCGAUUUUUGCUUCACCAGAAUUCUAAGCAUCUGAAAUGUAUUCGCAUUGUGAAAUUUCGUUCCCCGCUUUUUCCUGGCCUUCCUUCGCCAAUAUUGAGUGUCUUUGGCGUGUGAUGAUGAUCAGGUUCGAAAUGGAUAUUCUACACACGGACCUGCCGCUGGGGAUCUGUUGACAGUGCUCAGAUGUUGGUUCCACAGAAAACGCACUUGUCUACGGAGCGUGUCACUUGCACGUCUGUUCUUCUCGAGUUGUUUCGUGUUGUUUCGUUGUUACAGUUGUUUCGGAACAUACGGGUCGUCAAACUCCUUGGACCAACGCUUGACGAACGCUAAAACACCUUAGCUUUAUUUACUGUUGCAACCUCUUAUGAUCAAAAAGGACUCCGAGGUCAUUUUAACUCGAAAUUCGUUCGGGGACAUGAUUUCCUAGAACAUAUGAGACAAAAUGUGGAGCAUUGCAUUUAGAAAGGUUCAGAAAAAGAAGAUUAGUUGAACACCACGAUAGUAGUUCACUUAGAUCCAGUUGAAGGCGUGUG